CCUACGGGAGGCAGCAGUGAGGAAUAUUGGUCAAUGGCCGGAAGGCUGAACCAGCCAUGCCGCGUGAAGGUCAGUGCCCUAUGGGCGUUAAACUUCUUUUGUGCGGGAGCAAUAAUGGUCACGUGUGGCCAGACGAGAGUACCGUACGAAUAAGCAUCGGCUAACUCCGUGCCAGCAGCCGCGGUAAUACGGGGGAUGCAAGCGUUAUCCGGCUUUAUUGGGUUUAAAGGGUGCGUAGGCUGUGAGGUAAGUCAGCGGGGAAAUGCCCCCGCUCAACGGGGUGAAGUGCCAUUGAUACUGCCUUGCUGGAAUGCGGAUGCCGUGGGAGGAAUGUGUGGUGUAGCGGUGAAAUGCAUAGAUAUCACACAGAACACCGAUUGCGAAGGCAUCUCACGAAUCCGCGAUUGACGCUGAUGCACGAAAGCGUGGGUAUCAAACAGGAUUAGAUACCCCGGUAGUC
RNAcentral lists this ribosomal RNA (460 nucleotides) under uncultured bacterium. RNAcentral's name for it is "partial 16S ribosomal RNA". It matches the Rfam family "Bacterial small subunit ribosomal RNA", at positions 338 to 795 of the family's 1533-position model. The record is from RNAcentral.